RNAcentral lists this ribosomal RNA (119 nucleotides) under Vigna radiata var. radiata (mung bean). Lineage: Eukaryota; Viridiplantae; Streptophyta; Magnoliopsida; Fabales; Fabaceae. The record is from RNAcentral.
AGGUGCGAUCAUAUCAGCACUAAUGCAUCGGAUUCCAUCAAAACUCCGCAGUUAAGCUCGCUUAGGCGAGAGUAGUACUAGGAUGGGUGAUCUCCUGGGAAGUCCUCAUGUUGUACCUC